This 1263-nucleotide ribosomal RNA is filed under the name metagenome. RNAcentral describes it as "bacterial LSU rRNA". It matches the Rfam family "Bacterial large subunit ribosomal RNA", at positions 1562 to 2841 of the family's 2925-position model. The record is from RNAcentral.
CGUCCUUCUGCUACGUUUAAAGUAGCGAAGUCCGUGAGCCAUGCGUCAAGAAAAGCCGCUAUUGUUUAUACCGUACCCGUACCGUAAACCGACACAGGUGGAUGAGGAGAGAAUCCUAAGGCCGGCGGAAGAAGCAUUGUCAAGGAACUCGGCAAAAUGGCCCCGUAACUUAGGGAUAAGGGGUGCCUGGGAAACCAGGCCGCAGAGAAUAGGCUCAAGCAACUGUUUAGCAAAAACACAGGUCUAUGCGAAACCGAAAGGUGAGGUAUAUGGGCUGACGCCUGCCCGGUGCUGGAAGGUUAAGAGGAGAGGUUAGCGCAAGCGAAGCUUUGAAUUUAAGCCCCAGUAAACGGCGGCCGUGACAAUAACGGUCCUAAGGUAGCGAAAUUCCUUGUCGGGUAAGUUCCGACCCGCACGAAAGGCGUAAUGAUUUGAGCGCUGUCUCGACAAUGCAUCCGGUGAAAUUGAAGUACCAGUGAAGAUGCUGGUUACCUGCGCCAGGACGGAAAGACCCCAUGGAGCUUUACUCCAGUCUGGUACUGGGACUCGGUAUUGCAUGUACAGGAUAGGUGGGAGGCUAGGAGAUGGUAACGCCAGUUGCCAUGGAGCCGCUGUUGGGAUACCACCCUUGCAGUAUUGGGUUUCUAACCAGCCGCCGUGACCCGGCGGUGGGACAAUGCCAGACGGGGAGUUUGACUGGGGCGGUCGCCUCCGAAAGGGUAUCGGAGGCGCCCAAAGGUUCCCUCAGAAUGGACGGAAACCAUUCGAAGAGUGCAAAGGCAGAAGGGAGCUUGACUGCGACACCGACGGGUGGAGCAGGUACGAAAGUAGGGCUUAGUGAUCCGGUGGUAUUAAGUGGGAAUGCCAUCGCUCAACGGAUAAAAGCUACCCUGGGAUAACAGGCUUAUCACUCCCAAGAGUUCACAUCGACGGAGUGGUUUGGCACCUCGAUGUCGGCUCAUCGCAUCCUGGGGCUGUAGUAGGUCCCAAGGGUUGGGCUGUUCGCCCAUUAAAGCGGUACGCGAGCUGGGUUCAGAACGUCGUGAGACAGUUCGGUCCCUAUCCGGCGUGGGCGUAGGAUAUCUGAGAGGAGCUGUCCUUAGUACGAGAGGACCGGGAUGGACGGGCCGCUGGUGCAUCGGUUAGACUGCCAAGUCUACGGCCGAGUAGCCAAGCCCGGAAGGGAUAAACGCUGAAGGCAUCUAAGCGUGAAGCCCCCCUUAAGAUGAGAUAUCCCAUUCGUUAAGAAGUAAACCCCCUUGA